Molecule: ribosomal RNA, 394 nt
Filed under: uncultured bacterium
Lineage: Bacteria
Description: bacterial SSU rRNA
Rfam family: Bacterial small subunit ribosomal RNA
Source: RNAcentral
GACGAACGCUGGCGGCGUGCUUAACACAUGCAAGUCGAGCGGGGUCCAUCUUGUCGCAAGACAAGGGAAGACCUAGCGGCGAACGGGUGAGUAACACGUGAGCAACCUGCCCCGAAGACUGGGAUAACACCGGGAAACCGGUGCUAAUACCGGAUACCCUCAAUGAGUCGCAUGGCUCGAUGAGGAAAUGGAUUCCGCUUCGGGAGGGGCUCGCGGCCUAUCAGCUUGUUGGGGGGUAACGGCCUACCAAGGCUCCGACGGGUAGCUGGUCUGAGAGGACGACCAGCCACACUGGGACUGAGACACGGCCCAGACUCCUACGGGAGGCAGCAGUGGGGAAUCUUGCGCAAUGGGCGAAAGCCUGACGCAGCAACGCCGCGUGGGGACGAAGGCC